Molecule: ribosomal RNA, 414 nt
Filed under: uncultured bacterium
Lineage: Bacteria
Description: partial 16S ribosomal RNA
Rfam family: Bacterial small subunit ribosomal RNA
Source: RNAcentral
UGGGGAAUUUUGGACAAUGGGCGCAAGCCUGAUCCAGCAAUGCCGCGUGCAGGAUGAAGGCCUUCGGGUUGUAAACUGCUUUUGUACGGAACGAAAAGCCUCUCUCUAAUACAGGGGGGUGAUGACGGUACCGUAAGAAUAAGCACCGGCUAACUACGUGCCAGCAGCCGCGGUAAUACGUAGGGUGCAAGCGUUAAUCGGAAUACUGGGCGUAAAGCGUGCGCAGGCGGUUUUGUAAGACAGUGGUGAAAUCCCCGGGCUCAACCUGGGAACUGCCAUUGUGACUGCAAGGCUGGAGUGCGGCAGAGGGGGAUGGAAUUCCGCGUGUAGCAGUGAAAUGCGUAGAUAUGCGGAGGAACACCGAUGGCGAAGGCAAUCCCCUGGGCCUGCACUGACGCUCAUGCACGAAAGCGU